GCUAUAAAGUAAUCAAUAUUCAACCAAACCUAGGUAUGAAAAAAUUCUCCUAGGUAGCACAUCGUCCUUUUAAUGGAUUUUACGCGGCACGAAUCUGAAUUAGUCGUGUCUCAUACCGAACAUCGUGUGGAAAACCAAAACAAGUAAUUCAACCAACAAGCUAAAGUAGAGUAGUUGAGCAAUAUAAUUAAUUCUAUCUUUAUGUUAUAUGUGCAACUUGCAAGUCACUCAUUUUCAUUUCUUUCUGAUAUAAUUCGGAGUACUAGAUACUGUAACAUUUGAACAUGUUAAAACAUGCUUUUAUCGUCAUGAUGUUUUCCCUCUAAAUAAGCUAUUCUGGGGUAGGCGUAUUACCUCAGCAUUGUUGGUUGACCUUCAUAUGUAAUUAUCCCGACCCAUAUUUCCUAUUUGUAACAAAUUUGUUUUAAAAAUGAUUUAAUAUAGUACUCUUGCCAUCCCAAUUUAUGUGGAACCUUUCGAAUUUUGAGAUUCAAACAAAUCGUUCUUUGAUCGCAAUUUUUUCAUAUAUAGUUUUUAAAUAUUUUAAUUGUCAAUUAUUGUGACUUACAUAUUUUUUAAAUAGUUUCCCCAUGUGUAAAUUUUAUUUCAAAAAACUUGAAGAUUUCAUGCCCAAAUUCACGAACAAAAUUAAACUAUUUGAUUUUCGAAAUCCUAACUGAGCCACAUAAAUUGGACAGAGGGAGUAAUAAUUAGGUAAAAAAUUUCAAACAAAGAGGCCCGUGGAUUUAAAACCAUAUCACCUAUAUUUUGGGAAAGUGCAGAAAUAGCUAUUUUAGGAUUCCGUUUUAUAGAAUAACUGAAAUUUAUAAAGUUUUCAAAAUUUAGUCGCCUCAUAAUUAUCUCCGGACCGUCAGAUCUGAAGUUGAAAUUGGGGGUUUGAAAUUUACUGCAGACCUUUGUGUUUGAAGUUAGUCUCUACCAAUGCCUAACUUCAGAAUGCAAUACAAAUUAAUAAGAUUGAAAGUCUGAAUUGUGGCCUUGGUAGCCUAACUUCAGACUUGACAGUCUGUGUAGCAUUCCUGAAAAUUUUGUAAAUAUUUAAUACUUUAUGACGCACUAAAGAAUAUUUAAUUUAUCAUUUUGUAUGUCAAGGACGUUGCUAGAUGUGAGUUCGUUGUUUGAAGAUUUUGGAUUAAUCAUAAUUUGGAACUGUCAGAGCGACCAUUUAGCUAUUAAGGCCGACUUGAGCUGAAAAGACGAUAAGGGAAAAUAUUAAUGAGGGAGAUUCCUUGUUUGUCAAUAAUAUAAACAAGGAUAUGAUGUCGAUGAGUUCACCGUAGUCGACAGUGGACUAACCGCCAAAGUCAAUCUACAGAACAAAACAUGUUCUUGUGAAAGUAUGACUUGGUGAAAUUACUGUGUGCUCACGCGAGGGCAGCAUUGAGAUUGAAGUACGAUGUUGAUUAUGGUUCAAGCAUCUACGAGUAUUGUUCGCCUAUGGGAAAUGCCAGAGAAGUAUACAAACAUGUUCAUUCUCCACCCCUGUACAAGCCCAAACUUGGAAGAAAGAGAAUUAAGUGUAUUCAUGACAUCACGGAAACUUUCAAGCCCAAGGUACGUAGCAAAGGGAAGAGAAACAAGUGCUCGAUUUGCAAGGGGGAUGGUCACAAGAAAACAACGUGUCGAUAUUUGAGAGAGGAUCUCACUUGAUAUCUUUAAAUUUUAAUGUAUUUUUAUUGUAAUAGUUCUGAAAACUGAAUGCAAGAUCAAUAUUAAUCAACUUUGUAUCAGUUUAUACUCUAAGUGAAUUUAUAAUAGAAUUUCAGUUGGUCUA
Molecule: long non-coding RNA, 1795 nt
Organism: Lycium barbarum (goji berry)
Lineage: Eukaryota; Viridiplantae; Streptophyta; Magnoliopsida; Solanales; Solanaceae
Exons: 2
Source: RefSeq, a predicted model, not a curated record